This 77-nucleotide transfer RNA is filed under the name Gammaproteobacteria bacterium. RNAcentral's name for it is "tRNA-Arg". It matches the Rfam family "tRNA". From Rfam's summary of the family: Transfer RNA (tRNA) molecules are approximately 80 nucleotides in length. Their secondary structure includes four short double-helical elements and three loops (D, anti-codon, and T loops). Further hydrogen bonds mediate the characteristic L-shaped molecular structure. tRNAs have two regions of fundamental functional importance: the anti-codon, which is responsible for specific mRNA codon recognition, and the 3' end, to which the tRNAs corresponding amino acid is attached (by aminoacyl-tRNA synthetases). tRNAs cope with the degeneracy of the genetic code in two manners: having more than one tRNA (with a specific anti-codon) for a particular amino acid; and 'wobble' base-pairing, i.e. permitting non-standard base-pairing at the 3rd anti-codon position. The record is from RNAcentral. Lineage: Bacteria; Pseudomonadati; Pseudomonadota; Gammaproteobacteria.
GCGCCCGUAGCUCAGCGGAUUAGAGUACUUGGCUACGAACCAAGGGGUCGGGAGUUCAAUUCUCUCCGGGCGCGCCA